RNAcentral lists this ribosomal RNA (636 nucleotides) under Salinispora arenicola. Its description in RNAcentral is "bacterial SSU rRNA". It matches the Rfam family "Bacterial small subunit ribosomal RNA", at positions 104 to 754 of the family's 1533-position model. The record is from RNAcentral. Lineage: Bacteria; Bacillati; Actinomycetota; Actinomycetes; Micromonosporales; Micromonosporaceae.
GGGUGAGUAACACGUGAGUAACCUGCCCCAGGCUUUGGGAUAACCCCGGGAAACCGGGGCUAAUACCGGAUAUGACCAUCUGUCGCAUGGUGGGUGGUGGAAAGAUUUUUUGGCUUGGGAUGGGCUCGCGGCCUAUCAGCUUGUUGGUGGGGUGAUGGCCUACCAAGGCGGCGACGGGUAGCCGGCCUGAGAGGGCGACCGGCCACACUGGGACUGAGACACGGCCCAGACUCCUACGGGAGGCAGCAGUGGGGAAUCUUGCACAAUGGGCGGAAGCCUGAUGCAGCGACGCCGCGUGAGGGAUGACGGCCUUCGGGUUGUAAACCUCUUUCAGCAGGGACGAAGCGUUUGUGACGGUACCUGCAGAAGAAGCGCCGGCCAACUACGUGCCAGCAGCCGCGGUAAGACGUAGGGCGCAAGCGUUGUCCGGAUUUAUUGGGCGUAAAGAGCUCGUAGGCGGCUUGUCGCGUCGACUGUGAAAACCCGUGGCUCAACUGCGGGCUUGCAGGCGAUACGGGCAGGCUAGAGUUCGGUAGGGGAGACUGGAAUUCCUGGUGUAGCGGUGAAAUGCGCAGAUAUCAGGAGGAACACCGGUGGCGAAGGCGGGUCUCUGGGCCGAUACUGACGCUGAGGAGC